GAGGGUAUAGCUCAGUGGUAGAGUGUGUGCCCAGCAAGCAUGAGGUCCUGGGUUCAAUCCCCAGUGCCUCCA
This 72-nucleotide transfer RNA is filed under the name Camelus bactrianus (Bactrian camel). It matches the Rfam family "tRNA". Rfam says of the family: Transfer RNA (tRNA) molecules are approximately 80 nucleotides in length. Their secondary structure includes four short double-helical elements and three loops (D, anti-codon, and T loops). RNAcentral also lists the same sequence under 2 other names. Lineage: Eukaryota; Metazoa; Chordata; Mammalia; Artiodactyla; Camelidae. The record is from Rfam by way of RNAcentral.